This is a long non-coding RNA of Eriocheir sinensis (Chinese mitten crab), 2095 nucleotides long. RefSeq lists it as uncharacterized. The transcript is spliced from 3 exons. NCBI's taxonomy places the organism in Eukaryota, Metazoa, Arthropoda, Malacostraca, Decapoda, Varunidae. The record is from RefSeq and is a predicted model, not a curated record.
UUUCUUUCAUCAGUUUGAAAUAUAUUCUGCUAGGUUUCUCUUUUCAAAUAGUAUUUUCAGUUUCACUUAUUUAGUAUUCACCGCGGCCACUCGAACGCUUGCUUAAGUAAGCAGUGAAAGUGUAUACUUCCGGUGUCUGCCGCUGGAGGCCUGUUAGGUAACGUUUCCAAGAAAGAUCACAAAAGCGUGUGAUUUUGUCUGCAAAUUUUCAGUACACAUUUCUCACAGAACGAACACUCGCAGCCUCCCUCCGCUACUUCAGUCGGCCGCGCCAUGGGCUGGGAAGGGUCCAGUUUAGCGGUACAGCCCCCAGGCUCACCCAGCCGCUAAGGAAUCAUCCUGCGGCCGUAGUAUCCCACACUACCUGCUAGACACCAGCCUAGCAACGUACUAUUCGACGUGCAGGUCACCGAGAGGAUGACAUCGUAGGUGGAGCGGGGAGCGAGCGAGUACUGGCUGUUUCAUCAGUUCUCCAGACACGAGACGCUGAGUGUCAAGGUGACAUGUUUUUUCCAACAUUGAAGACUCACUGGCUUCCAAGGGCACUGGACACCCCUCAAGAGUUAUACGGAAUACUUAGUUUUCAUAUAAUCCAUAUACUUUUUUUUACGUAGUAAAAUUUUAACCCGGUAGCAGCAGGGAUCAUGUUUCUUAAUGGUCCAUCCAAGUGAGAAAAAUGAGAAAAAAUCACCCCUCACACAAACCAUUUCAUAAUAUAUAUUAAAGUAUUUGUGAUCAGAUUAUGUAUCAUCUAUUUUUGGGGGUUUAUAACAUGGCACAAAUUUGGCCCGUCGCUGCUACACGGUAAAGCCACAAAUUUGGCCCGUCACUGCUUCCAGGUUAAGUUAAGUAUUUUUUGGAAGUUUUUUUGAUUUUCAUAAUACAUAGAAAUGUGAAUUUUUUUUUACAGAAAUUUUUCCUCAAAUAUGUUCACAAAUACUUAUUUUUGUAAACCAAUACUCUUCAAAUGCAGUAAAGUAUGUAGUAGUUUUUUCUUAUUCUUCUGGUUAUUUAAGUCUACAUAUUUCUUAUUUUCCUUAACCCUAGAAUGGAAACCCCAUGCCAUUUGACACAUAUGAAUUUUAUAAUAAUUUAAUUUUAAUUUUAUUUAAAUUUCAUUAUAUAUUUUUUAUUUUUCCAAAGAGCGGUGCCAAAUGUCAAAGGGUUUCCCUGCACCAUCAUGAAAAUGAGGGUUUCCAUUAUAGGGUUAACUUAGAUCUUAGAAUAAAAAGAUAAAAUAGAAAGCAGGCAAGGCAUUGGCACACUAAUAUGGGGCUAACAAAGUAAAUAUCAUGCAAGUAGAAAUUCUAAAGAGUUGUCAAACAGUGGCUGCUUUAAAGCACAACAAAGUGAUAUAGUGGAUGAGACAGGGGUUAAGGAAACGGAUACAAUAAUUUUUUUUCUUUCUUUCUUUUCUUUCUUUUUUUUUUUUUUUAUGUUUCGCCUAUGGCACUGGCAGGCUUUCUUGGUGGGGCUUGCUUGUUGGCUCCAUCCCAUUCUGGCCCAGGCAAGUGUUUAUACUGGCGCCAUCAUGCUUGACUCGUGCUGUCCCCAAGGGCUCAUCUUUAAUCUCCAAUUUUAAGAAAGAAUCUAAAGUCCAGGCUGACAUGUGGACUUCAGGACAGCAUGUGGGUAGUCUUAGGAUGGAAGAUGAAGUGUAUGAUCAUGAGCUUAUUCAGAAGUUCAAAAUAACCUCACAUCUUUGCAUUGUGAAGACAGCUGAACUUGAUGAAAUGCCAGAAUUUUCUCUUUACUACACUCCAACAUGACCUCUGCGUGUAAUGAAACACACGAGAAAUUAACCCAGAUAAGGAAAGGUUUUGCCGGUGCCGGGGAUCGAACCCGCGACCAGCGAGAUGGGAGAGCCAUUCCUUAACCUGUCGGCCAAAGAGGUACCCCACUCGCAGAGUGAGUUAUGGGAGGCUCGCCUAUUAGGCAGGUUGCUGCACUACAUUGAUACUCCACAUUAAUAUUAACACAUAAAACUCUUAAACUUAUAAUAAAAAUUAUUUAUGUCUGCUGUUAUUGAUUGAUAGGGGUAUGUCGUCAUGGCACUGCAACCGCUAUGGUUAUAAGGUGGCAAUUAGUGCUAGGA